Molecule: ribosomal RNA, 456 nt
Filed under: Burkholderia multivorans
Lineage: Bacteria; Pseudomonadati; Pseudomonadota; Betaproteobacteria; Burkholderiales; Burkholderiaceae
Description: bacterial LSU rRNA
Rfam family: Bacterial large subunit ribosomal RNA
Source: RNAcentral
CAGACAUCGGGUGCUAACGUCCGGUGUCAAGAGGGAAACAACCCAGACCGCCAGCUAAGGUCCCCAAAUAUGGCUAAGUGGGAAACGAAGUGGGAAGGCUAAAACAGUCAGGAGGUUGGCUUAGAAGCAGCCACCCUUUAAAGAAAGCGUAAUAGCUCACUGAUCGAGUCGUCCUGCGCGGAAGAUGUAACGGGGCUAAGCCAUAUACCGAAGCUGCGGAUGCGAGCUUGCUCGCAUGGUAGGAGAGCGUUCCGUAAGCCUGCGAAGGUGCCUUGUAAAGGGUGCUGGAGGUAUCGGAAGUGCGAAUGCUGACAUGAGUAGCGAUAAAGGGGGUGAAAGGCCCCCUCGCCGUAAGCCCAAGGUUUCCUACGCAACGUUCAUCGGCGUAGGGUGAGUCGGCCCCUAAGGCGAGGCAGAAAUGCGUAGCUGAUGGGAAGCAGGUCAAUAUUCCUGCAC